This 784-nucleotide long non-coding RNA is filed under the name Phoenix dactylifera (date palm). RNAcentral's name for it is "long non-coding RNA (PDAC_LNC011384)". Lineage: Eukaryota; Viridiplantae; Streptophyta; Magnoliopsida; Arecales; Arecaceae. The record is from RNAcentral.
AAGCAUGGACUAUCUUAUAUUUACUUAGUGAUCAUGAAGAACAGUUGUACGAAUAUCAUACUUAAAAUCACAAAAAUUAAAUAUGAUUCAAAAGAAGAUAUCCAUUGAAAACAAUAAGUUCAUACAACCCCAAGAAUAUAAAAUAAAAUAUAAAAUCCGUGUCCCUUUGUUAGGGCUGCAUCCGGCCCUAGAGAGAAGAUCAGCCUUCCAUGGAGUCGUGGGCGAUAGCAGCGAUGUAGAGGACUCCCAUCACGGCUAUCUCCUUCCUUUCUGUGUCUUCUCCCUGCACUGGAUUCGGUGGGAACUUCCUUAGCAUUUCAUCUCUUUUCUUCCCAUAAUAUCCCAAACUAUUCUCUCACUCUUUAUUCAAUGGGAACUCCCUGAGAAGAGCGAUUGGGAUCAGCCGGCUCCCUCCCUCCGAAUCCUUCGUCUUCACUUCCUAACUCCUUUAUAUAGACUACUCCCCUCCCUCUCUCCUUCACGUCUUGGAUAGAGAUUGAACAGGGGAUGGCGUGGAUGGCAUAUCCGAACGCGAACAGAAGAAAAUCUGGGAAGAUGUUGGGAUACGCGGAUGUGGUUGAGGUGUGAAGAAGAUCUCGGAUGGCUGUAGGACGUUGCUGGAUUUGCUAGAUCUAUGGAUGUGAAGUGAUCUCAAAGGGGUUAUGGCUCUGAUCAGUGAUGACAUUGAAUCCUGGCUAGCCGUGGGAUAAGGAUGAAGAGCAAACGCGGAGAUGCACGGGAGAAACGGACGGCCAUGUGGGAUGUGCGAAAUGCUGGGAGGAUC